RNAcentral lists this ribosomal RNA (253 nucleotides) under uncultured bacterium. Its description in RNAcentral is "partial 16S ribosomal RNA". It matches the Rfam family "Bacterial small subunit ribosomal RNA", at positions 524 to 776 of the family's 1533-position model. The record is from RNAcentral.
UACGUAGGGUGCGAGCGUUAAUCGGAAUUACUGGGCGUAAAGCGUGCGCAGGCGGUGAUGUAAGACCGAUGUGAAAACCCCGGGCUUAACCUGGGAACUGCAUUUGUGACUGCAUAGCUAGAGUACGGUAGAGGGGGAUGGAAUUCCGCGUGUAGCAGUGAAAUGCGUAGAUAUGCGGAGGAACACCGAUGGCGAAGGCAAUCCCCUGGACCUGUACUGACGCUCAUGCACGAAAGCGUGGGGAGCAAACAGG